RNAcentral lists this ribosomal RNA (549 nucleotides) under uncultured Actinomycetes bacterium. Its description in RNAcentral is "bacterial SSU rRNA". It matches the Rfam family "Bacterial small subunit ribosomal RNA", at positions 259 to 822 of the family's 1533-position model. Lineage: Bacteria; Bacillati; Actinomycetota; Actinomycetes. The record is from RNAcentral.
GUUGGCUUCAAGGCGACGACGGGUAGCCGGCCUGAGAGGGCGACCGGCCCACUGGGACUGAGACACGGCCCAGACUCCUACGGGAGGCAGCAGUGGGGAAUAUUGCGCAAUGGGCGGAAGCCUGACGCAGCGACGCCGCGUGAGGGAUGAAGGCCUUCGGGUUGUAAACCUCUUUCAGCAGGGACGAAGCGUGAGUGACGGUACCGGUAGAAGAAGCACCGGCCAACUACGUGCCAGCAGCCGCGGUAAUACGUAGGGUGCGAGCGUUGUCCGGAAUUAUUGGGCGUAAAGAGCUCGUAGGCGGUGUGUCGCGUCGGUCGUGAAAACUUGGGGCUUAACUCCGAGCUUGCGGUCGAUACGGGCAUCACUGGAGUUCGGCAGGGGAGACUGGAAUUCCUGGUGUAGCGGUGAAAUGCGCAGAUAUCAGGAGGAACACCGGUGGCGAAGGCGGGUCUCUGGGCCGAUACUGACGCUGAGGAGCGAAAGCGUGGGGAGCGAACAGGAUUAGAUACCCUGGUAGUCCACGCCGUAAACGGUGGGCGCUAGGUG